GCCAGUUAUGGUGGCACAUGCCGGUAGUCCCAACUACUUGAGAGGCUGAGGCAGCAGGAUCUCUUGAGCCCAGGAGCCCUGGUCUGUAGUGCACUAUGCUGGUCAGGUGCACUAAGUUUGGCAUGAAUAUGGUGACCUCCCAGGAGAGGGAGGUCAGAAAUGGAGCAAGUCAAAAUUUCAGUGCUGGUCAAUAGCGGGAGUGGACCUGUCAUAAGCCACUGUGCUCCAGCCUGGGCAACAGUGAGACCCUCU
This 252-nucleotide small RNA is filed under the name Saimiri boliviensis boliviensis (Bolivian squirrel monkey). Its description in RNAcentral is "Metazoan signal recognition particle RNA (ENSSBOG00000007119.1)". It matches the Rfam family "Metazoan signal recognition particle RNA". From Rfam's summary of the family: The signal recognition particle (SRP) is a universally conserved ribonucleoprotein. It is involved in the co-translational targeting of proteins to membranes. Lineage: Eukaryota; Metazoa; Chordata; Mammalia; Primates; Cebidae. The record is from RNAcentral.